UGCAGUCGACGAUGAAGCCGGAGCUUGCUCUGGUGGAUUAGUGGCGAACGGGUGAGUAACACGUGAGUAACCUGCCCCUGACUCUGGGAUAAGCGCUGGAAACGGCGUCUAAUACCGGAUAUGCGCUGUAACCGCAUGGUUUGCAGCGGGAAAGAUUUAUCGGUUGGGGAUGGACUCGCGGCCUAUCAGCUUGUUGGUGAGGUAAUGGCUCACCAAGGCGUCGACGGGUAGCCGGCCUGAGAGGGUGACCGGCCACACUGGGACUGAGACACGGCCCAGACUCCUACGGGAGGCAGCAGUGGGGAAUAUUGCACAAUGGGCGCAAGCCUGAUGCAGCAACGCCGCGUGAGGGAUGACGGCCUUCGGGUUGUAAACCUCUUUUAGCAGGGAAGAAGCCUUCGGGUGACGGUACCUGCAGAAAAAGCGCCGGCUAACUACGUGCCAGCAGCCGCGGUAAUACGUAGGGCGCAAGCGUUAUCCGGAAUUAUUGGGCGUAAAGAGCUCGUAGGCGGUUUGUCACGUCUGCUGUGAAAACUGGAGGCUCAACCUCCAGCCUGCAGUGGGUACGGGCAGACUAGAGUGCGGUAGGGGAGAUUGGAAUUCCUGGUGUAGCGGUGGAAUGCGCAGAUAUCAGGAGGAACACCGAUGGCGAAGGCAGAUCUCUGGGCCGUUACUGACGCUGAGGAGCGAAAGGGUGGGGAGCAAACAGGCUUAGAUACCCUGGUAGUCCACCCCGUAAACGUUGGGAACUAGUUGUGGGGGCU
RNAcentral lists this ribosomal RNA (764 nucleotides) under Microbacterium sp. RNAcentral describes it as "bacterial SSU rRNA". It matches the Rfam family "Bacterial small subunit ribosomal RNA", at positions 56 to 830 of the family's 1533-position model. The record is from RNAcentral. Lineage: Bacteria; Bacillati; Actinomycetota; Actinomycetes; Micrococcales; Microbacteriaceae.